GGGCACUCUAGCGAGACUGCCGGUAAUAACCGGAGGAAGUGGGGAUGACGUCAAAUCAUCAUGCCCCUUAUGACCUGGGCUACACACGUGCUACAAUGGUUGGUACAACGAGUUGCGAGUCGGUGACGGCGAGCUAAUCUCUUAAAGCCAAUCUCAGUUCGGAUUGUAGGCUGCAACUCGCCUACAUGAAGUCGGAAUCGCUAGUAAUCGCGUAUCAGCGUGACGCGGUGAAUACGUUCCCGGGCCUU
RNAcentral lists this ribosomal RNA (248 nucleotides) under uncultured Streptococcus sp. RNAcentral describes it as "partial 16S ribosomal RNA". It matches the Rfam family "Bacterial small subunit ribosomal RNA", at positions 1133 to 1382 of the family's 1533-position model. The record is from RNAcentral. Lineage: Bacteria; Bacillati; Bacillota; Bacilli; Lactobacillales; Streptococcaceae.